RNAcentral lists this ribosomal RNA (545 nucleotides) under uncultured bacterium. RNAcentral's name for it is "bacterial SSU rRNA". It matches the Rfam family "Bacterial small subunit ribosomal RNA", at positions 67 to 628 of the family's 1533-position model. The record is from RNAcentral.
CGAGGAUGAUUUGAGGAGACAUAUGUUGAAUUGAAUCAUUCGAGCAGCGGACGGGUGAGUAAAGCACAAGGACUUGUCCGAAAGAGAGGGACACCUGCGGGAAACCGGAGCUAAUACCUCAUAAGCCGGAAGGUGAAAAGCAGAGAUGCGCUUUUGGAGAGACUUGUGUCCUAUCAGGCAGUUGGUGAGGUGAAAGCUCACCAAACCGAAGACGGGUAGCCGGACUGAGAGGUCGACCGGCCACAUUGGAACUGAGAGACGGUCCAGACUCCUACGGGAGGCAGCAGUGGGGAAUAUUGGGCAAUGGGCGGAAGCCUGACCCAGCGACGCCGCGUGAGGGAAGACAGCCUUCGGGUUGUAAACCUCUGUUGCAGGGGAAGAAGGAAGUGACGGUACCCUGCGAGGAAGCUCCGGCUAACUACGUGCCAGCAGCCGCGGUAAUACGUAGGGAGCGAGCGUUGUCCGGAAUUACUGGGCGUAAAGGGCGCGUAGGCGGCGCUUCAAGUCGUCUGUCAAAUGGAAGGGCUUAACCCUUUUUCGCAGAC